UCUGACAUUUUAGUUUGAUGCAUUUCCAACUAUUACACAUUAAAAAAAUUAUACAUAAAACAAAACAAAAGGUUAUAACAUUAAAAGAAAAAAAAAGUAAAAUGAUGCAAAUUGGCCAACAAGUGUCGGUUGCAAAAAAAAUUAUAGAAUAAAUUGGCUAACAAGUUUGGCAAACAACGAAUAUUUAAAAUAUAAAUGAAAGAAAAAUUGAAAUAAAGCUAACUUUUCAGUCAGGGUCCACUUUUUCCUUGAUUUAUGUGUUUGGUUGGGUUCUAUGUUUGAGAGCCAACUUUGAAAACUUAUGCUAACACAUCAACUUGCAAUGAUAUGGAGCUAGCUCCCAACUCUUUAAAUUUGGUAAGGAGUUACCAAUACCACCACCCUAAGAGAGGCUGUGAGAGAGAAUGUGCUCAUCCUCGAAGUUGACUUCGCCGCUGUAGAAAGCUUCAUGUAAUAUCUCAGUCGUGGCGCCGUCAGCAGCUUUCUUCCUUGCUACUUCUUUUUUAGCUCGAGCGUCAACUUCACCUUUAGCUUGAGCAGCUUCUUCUACACAUGUUCUGUUUGCCGCUUUCUUGUUUCCUAGCUCAGCCGCAUGCGCUUCUUCUUCUUCUUCUUCAAAUAAUCCGUGCAAAUGCGCGUUUCCAUUAAAGGGAGUAUCGCAUUUCUUAGUCUGAGGGGUCUGUUUGCAAUUUAGCUAAUGCAGAAGGUUUUAGUUGUGCAAUUAAAUCAUUAUAUCGUGACCGUUGGAUCUAAUCACACAUCUGAGAUUUAAAGUGGCAGAGGGAGUUAGUUAUUACUAAUUCUGGGAUCUCAUCUUCUUCCCUAAGCUUGAUUUGCAGACUGUGUGCGAGAAAGGGAAAUAGAGAGAAUAAUUUCUGCCAUUCAAAGCUUGUUUCUGGCAAUAGUUUUUCUUCUUGGUGAUAUGUUUCUCUUGUAAUCAAAGUUGGAUUGUUGAAUAAAGUGAAUCUCAAUUUUCUUGGCCUGUGGAUGUAGGUUGAAAAAUCGAAUCACGUAAAUCCUUCUUGUGUCGAUUUCUUUUGCCAUUUUUCGCCGAUUGCUUAACAAGUGGCGCCGUCUGUAGGAAGGGAGACCACGAUCAGCGAUAAGAUGCCGAUGCCAAGAGUUGAAUCAGGAAGUUUAUUGUGAAAAAUGAUUUCGCUUUUUGGCGGAUUAAAAUGUGCGCACUCUUAUCACAGCAGGGUUUGGCAGCUGCGUUGAAGGUUGAUGAUGUCUCAUCCUCAUCUCUGAUAUUGACUCAAAGGAGAAAAUUGAUGCAGCUGUAGAGACAGAUCUCAAGAGAGCUAAAAUGCGGAUAAGGUGUUGUGAGAGGUGGCAAGGGAACAAUCUGCAGCAGCUGUUUGGACAAAGCUUGAGUCGAUUUAUAUGACCAAAUCAGUACUAGCCAAUCGACUCUACUUAAAGCAGAUGUUGUAUUCUUUCAAAGUCUUGGAUGCUAAACCUUUGGAAUAUCAUCUUGAAGCAUUUAACAAUAUUAUUGAUGAUCUUGAAAAUGUGGAUGUCAAAGUUGAGGAUGAAGAUCAAGCAAUCAUCAUGUUGAAUGCACUACCUCUCUUAUAUGAUCACCUUAAAGGUGUCAUGCUAUAUGGGAGGGAAAAUGACAUCUCAGUUGGGGAAGUAUAGACAGCUUUGAAGGCCAAAGAGCUCCAGAAAGCAUCAAGCUCAUCAACAAAGGCCAAAGACAUUGUUGGUGAAGGCUUAUCUGUGAAACAGAAAGAUGGAAAUUCAAGAAGACCAUUAUUGAUUAGAAAUGAAUUUUCAUACACAAACUUGUUAUCAUUGCAAGAAACCUGGACAUUGGAAUAGCGAUUGUUUGAUUUGGAAGAGAAAUAAAAAACAAUCCAACUGCAAUGGAAAGCAGGGGCAGAAGGAACCUGAAGAAUGUGAUGUUGCAGAAGCUUUAAAUGUGAUGGAGAAUCACAUUGAUCAUUAAUGGAUUUUGGAUUCAGGAUGCUCUUUUCAUAUGCGCCCAGAAGAGGAUUGAUUUUCUGAGCUUGAGCAUCAUGGAGCUGGAUCUAUUUUGCUAGGUAAUAAUCAGUCAUGUGCAGUAAAAAGGAUAGACAGCAUAAGGUUCAAACUUCAUGAUGGAAGUAUAAGAACUUUGCUGGAUGUUAGAUAUGUUCCUAGCCUUAAGAGAAGCCUCAUUUCUCUUGGAACUCUGAAAAGGAAAGGGUACUAGUGGAGCUCAACUAAAGGAGGCAUUAUAAUGAUAAAGCAUAUUCUUAUUGUUAAAAGUUGUGCACGGUGCAACUGGUUGCACCCAUGACCACCUCAAUGCAAUUUGGAUGUAAUUUAAAAGUUGUGGAUCUGUCCCACUUUAUUGUUAAAGCAUAUUCUUAUUUAUCUCUCA
Salvia miltiorrhiza (redroot sage) is the source of this 2368-nucleotide long non-coding RNA. RefSeq lists it as uncharacterized. Lineage: Eukaryota; Viridiplantae; Streptophyta; Magnoliopsida; Lamiales; Lamiaceae. The transcript has 2 exons. The record is from RefSeq and is a predicted model, not a curated record.